GACGAACGCUGGCGGCGUGCCUAAUACAUGCAAGUCGAACGAACUCUGGUAUUGAUUGGUGCUUGCAUCAUGAUUUACAUUUGAGUGAGUGGCGAACUGGUGAGUAACACGUGGGAAACCUGCCCAGAAGCGGGGGAUAACACCUGGAAACAGAUGCUAAUACCGCAUAACAACUUGGACCGCAUGGUCCGAGUUUGAAAGAUGGCUUCGGCUAUCACUUUUGGAUGGUCCCGCGGCGUAUUAGCUAGAUGGUGGGGUAACGGCUCACCAUGGCAAUGAUACGUAGCCGACCUGAGAGGGUAAUCGGCCACAUUGGGACUGAGACACGGCCCAAACUCCUACGGGAGGCAGCAGUAGGGAAUCUUCCACAAUGGACGAAAGUCUGAUGGAGCAACGCCGCGUGAGUGAAGAAGGGUUUCGGCUCGUAAAACUCUGUUGUUAAAGAAGAACAUAUCUGAGAGUAACUGUUCAGGUAUUGACGGUAUUUAACCAGAAAGCCACGGCUAACUACGUGCCAGCAGCCGCGGUAAUACGUAGGUGGCAAGCGUUGUCCGGAUUUAUUGGGCGUAAAGCGAGCGCAGGCGGUUUUUUAAGUCUGAUGUGAAAGCCUUCGGCUCAACCGAAGAAGUGCAUCGGAAACUGGGAAACUUGAGUGCAGAAGAGGACAGUGGAACUCCAUGUGUAGCGGUGAAAUGCGUAGAUAUAUGGAAGAACACCAGUGGCGAAGGCGGCUGUCUGGUCUGUAACUGACGCUGAGGCUCGAAAGUAUGGGUAGCAAACAGGAUUAGAUACCCUGGUAGUCCAUACCGUAAACGAUGAAUGCUAAGUGUUGGAGGGUUUCCGCCCUUCAGUGCUGCAGCUAACGCAUUAAGCAUUCCGCCUGGGGAGUACGGCCGCAAGGCUGAAACUCAAAGGAAUUGACGGGGGCCCGCACAAGCGGUGGAGCAUGUGGUUUAAUUCGAAGCUACGCGAAGAACCUUACCAGGUCUUGACAUAUUAUGCAAAUCUAAGAGAUUAGACGUUCCCUUCGGGGACAUGGAUACAGGUGGUGCAUGGUUGUCGUCAGCUCGUGUCGUGAGAUGUUGGGUUAAGUCCCGCAACGAGCGCAACCCUUAUUAUCAGUUGCCAGCAUUAAGUUGGGCACUCUGGUGAGACUGCCGGUGACAAACCGGAGGAAGGUGGGGAUGACGUCAAAUCAUCAUGCCCCUUAUGACCUGGGCUACACACGUGCUACAAUGGAUGGUACAACGAGUUGCGAACUCGCGAGAGUAAGCUAAUCUCUUAAAGCCAUUCUCAGUUCGGAUUGUAGGCUGCAACUCGCCUACAUGAAGUCGGAAUCGCUAGUAAUCGCGGAUCAGCAUGCCGCGGUGAAUACGUUCCCGGGCCUUGUACACACCGCCCGUCACACCAUGAGGGUUUGUAACACCCAAAGUCGGUGGGGUAACCUUUUAGGAACCAGCCGCCUAAGGUGGGACAGAUGAUUAGGGUG
RNAcentral lists this ribosomal RNA (1489 nucleotides) under Lactiplantibacillus pentosus. Its description in RNAcentral is "bacterial SSU rRNA". It matches the Rfam family "Bacterial small subunit ribosomal RNA". Lineage: Bacteria; Bacillati; Bacillota; Bacilli; Lactobacillales; Lactobacillaceae. The record is from RNAcentral.